Molecule: long non-coding RNA, 1830 nt
Organism: Dreissena polymorpha
Lineage: Eukaryota; Metazoa; Mollusca; Bivalvia; Myida; Dreissenidae
Exons: 4
Source: RefSeq, a predicted model, not a curated record
AAUCACCGACGAUUCUGUUGUUGAAGAAAGAUCUCCGCUUCGAAGCGUUCGGUUAUGAGGCAGAAGAGGAAUUUGCAGAAAUCACACAGGAAUCUGAUGAUAUUGACGACUGGCAUUAUUUCAAAUAUUUUAAAAUGAAACUCUACAACGAAAAUAAAGACUCAAAGAUCAAAACAAAAAGUACAGUGACCGAUCAGAAUGGUCGCGAGAUUGAUGCCUUCAUGUCUUCAGCGUUUCCAUAAAGUUCAUUAAAGACAAAAUAAUGGACGAAUUAAAAGCAAAUAUAGGAGUUUUGAGAGACGACGAUCUUAACUUCGUUCUAACAUGUCCUGCUAUAUGGUCUGAUAAUGCUAAACGAUUCAUGCGAGUAGCAGCAGAAAAGGCUGGCAUAGCAAAUGAUCAUCUACAAAUAGGUCUAGAACCCGAGUGUGCCAGCCAUAUAUCUGCACAAUGUUACACUACCAGACCUAAGUGCGUCCAAAAAACAAUCUUUCUCCAUGGCCGACGGAGACGCAUAUGAUAGUUGAUUUAGGCGGAGGUACCGUUGCUAUUGCGGCUCAUAAGAUUAACGGAUUGGGGCGAUUUGAAGAGAUACUUAUUUCUGAUGGCGGACCAUGGGGAUCCAUUAAAUCAAUUUUAGAUUCGAACAGGCUCUGACAGCGCUGUCAGGUGCAAGUGCAUUUGAAACGUUUCGAAAUGAGAACAUGCAUGAUUACACCGAACUGAUGAGAGCGUUUGAGCAUAAGAAAAUAGCAUUGCCGGGUAACAGGUCGAAAGUAACAAUGAAGUAACAAAUGACAUAUCUUCAAUGACACCAGCAUGAACAUAGAGACAGCUUAAUGGAUUCAAUAAAGGAAGUUGCGCAUACGGUAUUUGCACAAUGUUCUUUCCAACCAAAACAUAACGUUAUCUCUUUUCCAAAUGACUCGUUUGCAAGUUUAUAUGACGAAACAAUGGGUCUAAUAAUAGAUAAAGUACGAAAUAUUUUGGAAUAUUUGAAAAAAGUGAAACAACACGACAUUAAGACGAUAUUUUGUGUGGGAGGUUUUGCUGAUUGCAAACUGCUACGAGAUUGGUUUAGGGACAUAUUCGGUGACAGGGUGAUUGCUCCAAGUGAGGCGAUAACAGCUAUAAUGAAGGGUGCCGUCAUGUUUGGACGCGAUGAAAAUAUAAUCAAGUCCAGGAUAAGUAGAUUUACUUAUGGACUGGACUGGAGCGUAGAUUUUGACAGCAAAGUCCGUGAUUCUAGAAGGAAAGAAGAAACUAAGAGUGUUGAUGUCAUCAAAGAUAUCUUUUUUUACAAUUGCUGAAAAAGAUCAAUUAAUACCAACCGACUACGCUACGAAGAAGAUAGAGUCCUACGUGAAGACAGCCACACAGGAUUGAAUGGAGUUCCCAUUCUACAGAACGACUUAGGUAGCAGCUCCAUUGAACAUCGAUGACCCUGAGUGUUCUCUGAUGGGCUCAAUGAUAGUGGGUUUGGAUGAUACAACAGGGGACUUGAUCGCUACGUGACAGUGGAAGUCUACUUUGAGGCGUCUGAACUACGAGCAGAAGCCACCGACAAUAAAGGAAAGAAACAUACGGUUACUUUCAAUUUAGAUGAAAGUGAAGCCUGAACUACAUAUAUUGUUUAAUGUAAAAUAUUUAUGAAGCAGUGCUUUUAGGAAGUGUCUAUUUGGAUUUUUAUACGAAACAGGUUAGAGUUUAUGUAAUUCGUGUUUAUGAACUUGUUAAUGCAAACAAACUUUAAUGAUUGAGAACAAUCCAUAAAUUAUUAACUUUGAACACUUUACAAACAAAAGAUCAACGUGCGGAUUAAAAUAAAAA